This 254-nucleotide ribosomal RNA is filed under the name uncultured bacterium. Its description in RNAcentral is "partial 16S ribosomal RNA". It matches the Rfam family "Bacterial small subunit ribosomal RNA", at positions 524 to 776 of the family's 1533-position model. The record is from RNAcentral.
UACAUAGGGUGCGAGCGUUAUUCGGAUUUAUUGGGCGUAAAGAGCUCGUAGGCGGUUCGAUAAGUCGGGUGUUAAAUCCACAGGCUCAACCUGUGGCAGCCAUCCGAAACUGUCGUGACUAGAGUUUGGUAGGGGAUCACGGAAUUCCUGGUGUAGCGGUGGAAUGCGCAGAUAUCAGGAGGAACACCAGCAGCGAAGGCGGUGAUCUGGGCCAAUACUGACGCUGAGGAGCGAAAGCGUGGGGAGCGAACAGG